UACGUAGGGUCCAAGCGUUAUCCGGAAUCACUGGGCGUAAAGCGUGCGUAGGUGGGAAUUUAAGUGAGAUGUGAAAUCGUGUGGCUCAACCAUAUCGACUGUGUCUCAUACUGAGUUCCUAGAGGACGGCAGAGGCAAGUGGAAUUACUAGUGUAGCAGUGAAAUGCGUAGAUAUCAGUAGGAACACCAAUGGCGAAGGCAGCUUGCUGGGCCAAACCUGACACUAAGGCACGAAAGCGUGGGGA
Molecule: ribosomal RNA, 245 nt
Filed under: uncultured Chitinilyticum sp.
Lineage: Bacteria; Pseudomonadati; Pseudomonadota; Betaproteobacteria; Neisseriales; Chitinibacteraceae
Description: partial 16S ribosomal RNA
Rfam family: Bacterial small subunit ribosomal RNA
Source: RNAcentral